Molecule: long non-coding RNA, 963 nt
Filed under: Oncorhynchus mykiss (rainbow trout)
Lineage: Eukaryota; Metazoa; Chordata; Actinopteri; Salmoniformes; Salmonidae
Description: lncRNA (ENSOMYG00000057507.1)
Source: RNAcentral
CAGCGUGAAGUUUUCUACACCAGAAUGGUAGAAUGACCAACGAAGAACCCCUUUCAUUCUCUGGCGUACACGGAAAAGGUGCGAAUUAAAAGCGAGGGUCGACCGCUGCCUGAGAUCAGUUUCAUGAAGAAAGAUGAAAAGGUGAGCUCGUUCAAUAUCACCUGGUAUCAAAAGUAUAGCUGGUUAACAGGGAGCCUGUAUUAAUGGUCUUGCCUGCGUUUUUGGGCAUGCAAUAAUUUGCUUUUAGAGGACACGACGAGAUGGAAAGUUCCGCCGACAAGGAGUUUUGCCGAGAGGUGAUGACUACUCCACCCUACUACCUUUGUCAAAUUUCUCCUGACAUGAACUGAAGCCACGUCUCAUGUGCCCGCACAUCCACUGGCACAUUGAAUGUUUCCCCUCCAAGUACUUCAAAUCCUGUCCUGCGCUGGUCAAGCCUUUGAACACCUCAACUCAGGCCCUCAUUCAAUCACUGCUGUGAUCCCUUUCCAACAGUGUAAGUAGCCCUCGCAUUCCUAUUCCCCAUAAUAUGGUACUAUAAAUGUCUUUAUUAAAUGCUUUAGGUUAAAAUAAUUAGUCUUUGAUGAUUUUUGAAACACACUUUGUCGUCUCCGUGCGUUACGCUCCUAUACUGUGGGUCACCCAUCCUCCUCAAUGUUUCAAGUCACCAGCCUCCACUGAUGUCAAUACAUUUGUUUCCUAAACAGUACAUGGUCCUGUGGUGUUAAUAGAAUUGAUGGUAGAUGAUAAGGGUGUAGUGGCAUUUUGGGUAUGGGAUGAAAGGAAAGUGUUCAAGGGGGUAGAGCUAUGAGCUAAGGUUCUAAGGCCCAGCUCACCCUGUAGGUAAUUUAGUCUCCAUUUGUCCAGAACAGAAUCUGCAUAGGUCAGGAUGGGGGGCAGGCCGAGUCUCUAGGAGACCAGCCAGUAGGGCAGAGCCAGCAAUUUGGGGAGAGUUUAAUCAAC